UGUCCCAGAGUCUUAUCUGACUGCCCUGGUUCAAGCUGCCUACAGGACAAACGGCUGGCCUCUGGAUCUUUCUACGUUAAAGUGACCCAGUAUCGCAGUGAGGAUGAAAUCACAGUCAGGCCCAAACAAGGCUGCUUUGUGUUUGGCCUGUACCUGGAGGGAGCAGACUGGGACAUAGAGAACACCUGUCUAAUGAGAAGUAAACCUAAGGUCUCUGUGGUUGAACUGUGCAUCCUGAGAAUCAUCCCCAUUGAGACACGCCGCCUUAGAAGGACACCGGUGUACACAACAUCAAUGCGGAGGAAUGCAAUGGGCGUGGGACUGGUGUUUGAGGCAGACCUGUUUACUACCCUGCACCUCUCCCAUUGGGUUCUGCAGGGAGUCUGUUUGUGUCUCAACACCGAGUGAAGAUUUACUUAAAAAAAACUAAACACCUGCUUUUAUUCAUGAUGUUAGUUAGUUAAUUAUCGUUUUACCACUAGAUGGCAGCACAGAA
This is a long non-coding RNA of Cyprinodon tularosa, 496 nucleotides long. RefSeq lists it as uncharacterized. Lineage: Eukaryota; Metazoa; Chordata; Actinopteri; Cyprinodontiformes; Cyprinodontidae. The transcript has 3 exons. The record is from RefSeq and is a predicted model, not a curated record.